GUAUGAGUUUGGAUUGAUGGCAGGCCCGACCUCAUGGGCCGGAACCAUUGCCUGACUCUAUCCCAUGGGCGUCAGGCACUGAAGUGGGUUACACAGUA
Molecule: small nucleolar RNA, 98 nt
Filed under: Echinops telfairi (small Madagascar hedgehog)
Lineage: Eukaryota; Metazoa; Chordata; Mammalia; Afrosoricida; Tenrecidae
Description: Small nucleolar RNA SNORA42/SNORA80 family (ENSETEG00000024470.1)
Source: RNAcentral